AAACAAAUUCUCAUAAAAGGGGAAUAGGUUAAAAUACAGAAGAUGAGAAUUUGAAUAAAUCAAAUAUAUGGUCUCCAAAUGUCAGAUUAAAUAGUUGAAAUAUCAUCAUGUAAUGUAUAGAAUGACAAAAACAGUAAAAUGUUCAGGAGAAAUUAGAGAGUGCAGAGUAGACAAUAGGAGAGGUCUCCUGCCAAAACAAUUACUUUUAUUUUCUAUCUUAAGAAUUACAUAUACAUUUAAAGGAGUACAAAUCCAUGUGAUCACAAAAAAUAAUCCUGAGAUGCACUCUUCAGAUUUAUUUUACAACUUAUUUAUACAUUAUUACAGACACUUUGUGAAUAGAUUACUGUUCAUAUGAAUCUCGAGUUUUCAUUCCUAUAAGAAAUGUGGUAUGUACAUUAUGUAAAAGUCACGUUAUUUAAAGAGAUUUUACAGUGACCAAUGGCAAGCAUUUUGAUUGUGUUCUUACAUGAAAUUAAAUGGUGUAAGUUAGGACUGUCAUAAUUGUGUUGGCUUGCUUAAUUGCAGAAGCUGAAUUGUCACUGAAUUGAUGUGAACAAAUCAAUGGUUAAUCAGUUUAAACAGCAAUCAUUACUAAAUGUACUUAUGGGAAGUUAAUUACUGUAUAGUAGUGCCAUGUCAAGUGUGAAAAAGCAUUAAAAUAUACUAGGAUGUGUCAACAGGCAAUGUCAGAAAGUGCAAUGGACUAUGAACCCAUUAAACUUGUGUAUUUUAAAGCACUUUACUUGAACAAAAGCAUCAGAUCUCAGCGAUAACCUGCAAAAUUUGCAAAUUACUAAUUUUGCACUUCCCAGCAAGCCACGGCAUGUUCCUGGCCUGAUUGACUGCAUCCAAUUCAACUUGUCUCAACUGUAGCUGUUGUUUAGCAGAUUCGAAAUCUCUUGUCUGAAAUUCUCAUGUUUUGGGUAGGUGGUAAGAAUUGCAUUGUCUUUUUAAGCAACUCUAUCUAGAAUUUUCACAUUGACUUGGAGUAAUUUAUACUUUAAGAUCCAUCUUUGUUUGCCAAUAUAGAACUUAGCUCUCACCUCAGAGAGAAGGGAUCAGUUACUCUACCUAUUUAUGAGUGACCCAAGUAUAUAGAUUCAGGAUGCCCUAUUCUUAAGUGUUCUACUUGCUAAUCACAAGAAUAUUAAGUGUCACAAGGAAGUGUUCAAAAUAGGAACUCACAAUCUGAAAUCUAAAUAUAGACUCAGAUAAUUUCACUUUGGCUGUGUAGCAUCUCUCCGCAAUCACAACGAACUAAUCUGUCAAUUGUGCAUGUAGGUGAUGCUUUUUCUUUUUCUGGGAACCCCAGUUCACAGUUUAUUGAACCAAUGUCUUGGAAAACAGAGGCAUCAUACCAGAAACAGCGAAAGGCAAAUUGCAAUGCACCGUUCCAAAACUCUAGCUUUCUCCACUGUCAGGAACAGCCUGGGCUGAUUUAGAAGCUGAAGCAGGGUCUCUGACAAGCAUGAGGGGGAGAAGGGGGCCUUUAUAGAACUUGGAGCAAUGAAAGGAGAAAGAUUUACUGCAAAAUUCUGAACUCCUUUCAGAAUCGGAGACCACAAAGAUGCUGAUGGCAGCAAGUGAACAUCUGUUGACAGGGAUCUCCACAGCACUCGGUAAUUUGCUUGCCCUGUGUGUGUUGAAGUCAGUACUAUCCAUUCCCCUCUCUGUGCCUCAGAUACCUGCCAUACUGGUAAAUACACACUCCCAUGCAUACAUGCUCUUUCCUUUUACACAAUAAAAUAAAGACUGUUGCUUCCCUCCUUCCCCUACUAUUCCUCUCCCCAAAUGUUCUGUAGAAUUUUUACUGCAAACUCCAUUUCAAAAUCUAGUUCAUCCGUGAUUAGGGAAAAUUCUUCUGCUAUUAAAUGCUACCCAUUUUCUCAUAUUUUGAAUCACAGGUUAAGGGGGAGAGGAGAGCAAUCUGUGUCUCACAGGCAUUUUUCUUUCCUUUCUGACAGUCUCUGGGUCUUAUUGACAAGAACGCUUGGGGCUUGAGGGCUUUUCUUUUGCAUCUGUUCCUUUCACAGAUCUGAAAUCUCUAUAUAUUUUAAACUUAAUUAAAGUCGUGCUUGAAAAUGGGAGGGGACUUGUAGAAAAGAUAUUGUUCUAGUUUGCUUUUUUAUAAACACCAUGGGGGGGG
RNAcentral lists this long non-coding RNA (2149 nucleotides) under Mus musculus (house mouse). RNAcentral describes it as "long non-coding RNA chr16:41404388-41406537". The record is from RNAcentral. Lineage: Eukaryota; Metazoa; Chordata; Mammalia; Rodentia; Muridae.